This 978-nucleotide ribosomal RNA is filed under the name bacterium CIM004. RNAcentral describes it as "bacterial SSU rRNA". It matches the Rfam family "Bacterial small subunit ribosomal RNA", at positions 55 to 1023 of the family's 1533-position model. The record is from RNAcentral.
AUGCAGUCGAGCGAACAGAUAAGGAGCUUGCUCCUUUGACGUUAGCGGCGGACGGGUGAGUAACACGUGGGUAACCUACCUAUAAGACUGGGAUAACUUCGGGAAACCGGAGCUAAUACCGGAUAAUAUUUCGAACCGCAUGGUUCGAUAGUGAAAGAUGGUUUUGCUAUCACUUAUAGAUGGACCCGCGCCGUAUUAGCUAGUUGGUAAGGUAACGGCUUACCAAGGCGACGAUACGUAGCCGACCUGAGAGGGUGAUCGGCCACACUGGAACUGAGACACGGUCCAGACUCCUACGGGAGGCAGCAGUAGGGAAUCUUCCGCAAUGGGCGAAAGCCUGACGGAGCAACGCCGCGUGAGUGAUGAAGGUCUUCGGAUCGUAAAACUCUGUUAUUAGGGAAGAACAUACGUGUAAGUAACUGUGCACGUCUUGACGGUACCUAAUCAGAAAGCCACGGCUAACUACGUGCCAGCAGCCGCGGUAAUACGUAGGUGGCAAGCGUUAUCCGGAAUUAUUGGGCGUAAAGCGCGCGUAGGCGGUUUUUUAAGUCUGAUGUGAAAGCCCACGGCUCAACCGUGGAGGGUCAUUGGAAACUGGAAAACUUGAGUGCAGAAGAGGAAAGUGGAAUUCCAUGUGUAGCGGUGAAAUGCGCAGAGAUAUGGAGGAACACCAGUGGCGAAGGCGACUUUCUGGUCUGCAACUGACGCUGAUGUGCGAAAGCGUGGGGAUCAAACAGGAUUAGAUACCCUGGUAGUCCACGCCGUAACGAUGAGUGCUAAGUGUUAGGGGGGUUUCCGCCCCUUAGUGCUGCAGCUAACGCAUUAAGCACUCCGCCUGGGGAGUACGACCGCAGGUUGAAACUCAAGGAAUUGACGGGACCCGCACAAGCGGUGGAGCAUGUGGUUUAAUUCGAAGCACGCGAGAACCUUACCAAAUCUGACAUCCUUUGACACUCUAGAGAUAGAGCUUCCCUUCGG